This 467-nucleotide ribosomal RNA is filed under the name uncultured bacterium. RNAcentral's name for it is "bacterial SSU rRNA". It matches the Rfam family "Bacterial small subunit ribosomal RNA", at positions 355 to 825 of the family's 1533-position model. The record is from RNAcentral.
UAAGGAAUAUUGGUCAAUGGACGAAAGUCUGAACCAGCCAUCCCGCGUGCAGGAAGAAGGGGCUCUGCCUUGUAAACUGCUUUUGAAUGGGACGAAAGAGCUAUAUGCGUAUAGUGUUGACGGUACCAUUAGAAUAAGCACCGGCUAACUACGUGCCAGCAGCCGCGGUAAUACGUAGGGUGCAAGCGUUAAUCGGAAUUACUGGGCGUAAAGCGUGCGCAGGCGGUUAUGCAAGACAGGUGUGAAAUCCCCGGGCUUAACCUGGGAACUGCACUUGUGACUGCAUAGCUGGAGUACGGCAGAGGGGGAUGGAAUUCCGCGUGUAGCAGUGAAAUGCGUAGAUAUGCGGAGGAACACCGAUGGCGAAGGCAGUCCCCUGGGCCUGUACUGACGCUCAUGCACGAAAGCGUGGGGAGCAAACAGGAUUAGAUACCCACGUAGUCCCUGAGCGGGCUGGCAAGGCGCAU